This 482-nucleotide ribosomal RNA is filed under the name uncultured bacterium. RNAcentral's name for it is "partial 16S ribosomal RNA". It matches the Rfam family "Bacterial small subunit ribosomal RNA", at positions 30 to 507 of the family's 1533-position model. The record is from RNAcentral.
AUUGAACGCUGGCGGCAUGCUUUACACAUGCAAGUCGAACGGUAACAGGCCGCAAGGUGCUGACGAGUGGCGAACGGGUGCGUAAUGCAUCGGAACGUGCCCAGUCGUGGGGGAUAACUACUCGAAAGAGUAGCUAAUACCGCAUACGAUCUAUGGAUGAAAGCGGGGGACCGUAAGGCCUCGCGCGAUUGGAGCGGCCGGUGUCAGAUUAGGUAGUUGGUGGGGUAAAGGCUCACCAAGCCAACGAUCUGUAGCUGGUCUGAGAGGACGACCAGCCACACUGGGACUGAGACACGGCCCAGACUCCUACGGGAGGCAGCAGUGGGGAAUUUUGGACAAUGGGCGCAAGCCUGAUCCAGCAAUGCCGCGUGCAGGAAGAAGGCCUUCGGGUUGUAAACUGCUUUUGUACGGAACGAAACGGCUCUGGUUAAUACCCGGGGCUAAUGACGGUACCGGAAGAAUAAGCACCGGCUAACUACGUG